Molecule: unclassified non-coding RNA, 278 nt
Filed under: uncultured fungus
Lineage: Eukaryota; Fungi
Description: sequence contains ITS2
Source: RNAcentral
AACGCAUCUUGCGCCCUUUGGUUACUCCGAAGGGCAUGCCUGUUUGAGAGUCAUUAUUAUUCUCAACUUCAAAGUUUACUUUGAAGCUUGGAUAUGGGGGACUUUGCUGGCGACUUGUUGGCUCCUCUGAAAUACAUUAGCAGAACCUUAAUGUUCUUUUGGCUCUGGUUUGAUAAAUGAUAUCUAUGCCAUUGCCAAGGAAAUCCUGGUUUCAGCUUCUAAAGUCACUUUGUUGAAAACUUGACCUCAAAUCAGGUAGGACUACCCGCUGAACUUAA